AUUUCCUGUAUUCACGGCCGUGAGGAGCAGGUGUUGCAAGGACAGGAACACAGGCUAUGGAAAUGCAGGAUUAUUAUAACAAUCCAUAUUUUUUAAGAGAAUCUGCCGCCCUCAACUGGCCUGCGCAGAAUGUGUCACCACAUCCGUCUCAUGCCCGAUUCUUAAGUGACCUUCAGCAAGCACUCACCACUAACAGGCACUCAGUUCCACAGCUAAUAGGGGUUGAGACUGAAGCCAGAGAGUGUGACUCAUAAACAGUAUUAGCUGCUGUUCUGUAGCCUCGUACCGGGAAAAAGCAAAAGGCUACUUACAGAUUGACUUGACAGAAUAAAUAAAAAUAGUUUCCAUUGGCAGAUGGAUCCAU
This is a long non-coding RNA of Mobula hypostoma (lesser devil ray), 364 nucleotides long. RefSeq lists it as uncharacterized. The record is from RefSeq and is a predicted model, not a curated record. The transcript has 3 exons. NCBI's taxonomy places the organism in Eukaryota, Metazoa, Chordata, Chondrichthyes, Myliobatiformes, Myliobatidae.